UACGAAAAAAGCAAAUGUUGUUCGGAAUCACUGGGCGUAAAGGGAGCGUAGGCGGGUUUUUAAGUUAGGUGUUUAAUCCCGGGACCCAGCCCCGGACCGGCACUUAAAACUGGGAAUCUUGAAUAGUGGAGAGGUCGGUGGAAUUGGGGGUGUAGCGGUGGAAUGCGUAGAGAUCCCCAAGAACACCAGUUGCGAAGGCGGCCGACUGGACACAUAUUGACGCUGAGGCUCGAAAGCAUGGGGAGCAAACAGG
This 253-nucleotide ribosomal RNA is filed under the name uncultured bacterium. RNAcentral's name for it is "partial 16S ribosomal RNA". It matches the Rfam family "Bacterial small subunit ribosomal RNA", at positions 524 to 776 of the family's 1533-position model. The record is from RNAcentral.